This 587-nucleotide long non-coding RNA is filed under the name Homo sapiens (human). Its description in RNAcentral is "HSALNT0394703". Lineage: Eukaryota; Metazoa; Chordata; Mammalia; Primates; Hominidae. The record is from RNAcentral.
GGCAGAGUGCGGGAAGCGCCGAUGGGUCCUUACCUGCAGGGAGCUUUCUCCGGCUUCUUAGAAUACCUGGGAGCAGGAAUUGGCUAGCCCUAAGACCUCUGGACCCAGCCUGUACAAAACCUUUUUAGUAUAUUAGAAGAAAGGUGUUCCUUUUGAUGUGACAUCAGUUUUUCAGUGGCACAAUCCCGAAUGCUUAUGGUCCCAGCCCACUGAGCUCUACCAAGCUAUGUUAGAGCGUUGCAAACUAGAAACCAGCACCCACGGGGUUGUAGGAUGCCUUAGGAUUUAUAAGUUGGUGUCGGAAAGAGGGUUUCUGUGAAUUUGUCAGCCAGCCUUUACAUCUCAAAAUUUAAUUCCAAGAGCUUUCCAAAUUUUGAAACCAUGGCAAGAGUGCAUUCAAAUGAAACUGACUUUGGUUUGGUUUGGUUUUGGUGAGAGGGAUAAUGUGCUAUGGACCCAGGCGUCUGUAGAACCUGGACAUUUGAUAUAGGAUCGGUCUUCCACUCAAUGAAUACGUUCUAUAUUUUAAAGGGGACUCCUCUUUCCCUUGCUUAGGAAAAAAUAUCGUCAAAAUAUUCAUGGUAAUC